RNAcentral lists this transfer RNA (65 nucleotides) under Sternochetus olivieri. RNAcentral's name for it is "tRNA-Leu". It matches the Rfam family "tRNA". From Rfam's summary of the family: Transfer RNA (tRNA) molecules are approximately 80 nucleotides in length. Their secondary structure includes four short double-helical elements and three loops (D, anti-codon, and T loops). Lineage: Eukaryota; Metazoa; Arthropoda; Insecta; Coleoptera; Curculionidae. The record is from RNAcentral.
GUUAUUUUGGCAGAAAAGUGCAAUAGAUUUAGAAUCUAUUAAUGUAAAAAUAUUUACAAAUAAUA